Molecule: ribosomal RNA, 499 nt
Filed under: uncultured bacterium
Lineage: Bacteria
Description: bacterial SSU rRNA
Rfam family: Bacterial small subunit ribosomal RNA
Source: RNAcentral
ACACUGUACGAGUUUGAUCCUGGCUCAGAGCGAACGCUAGCGGCGGGCUUAACACAUGCAAGUCGAGCGGAGAGCUUCGGCUCUCAGCGGCGAACGGGUGAGUAACACGUAGGUAACGUGCCCUUUGAUGGGGAAUAACCUAGGGAAACCUGGGCUAAUACCGCAUAUGUCCUUCGGGAUGAAAGCCUUCGGGCGUCAGAGGAUCGGCCUGCGGCCCAUUAUUUAAUCCUAGUUGGUAGGGUAAUGGCCUACCAAGGGUACGAUGGGUAGCUGGUCUGAGAGGAUGAUCAGCCACACUGGAACUGAGACACGGUUCAGACUCCUACGGGAGGCAGCAGUGAGGAAUAUUGGGCAAUGGGCGAAAGCCUGACCCAGCCACGCCGCGUGAGUGAUGAAGGCCCUCGGGUCGUAAAGCUCUGUGGAGAGGGACGAAAACCCUGGUUUCAAAUAGGCUCCAGGCUUGACGGUACCUCUUUAGCAAGCACCGGCUAACUCUGUG